RNA transcript from Tachysurus vachellii, 2991 nucleotides. It is a transcript of the gene named zinc finger protein 451, with no coding region annotated. The record is from RefSeq and is a predicted model, not a curated record. The transcript has 13 exons. Lineage: Eukaryota; Metazoa; Chordata; Actinopteri; Siluriformes; Bagridae.
UUCUAACGCCCUCAUUUAGCCUAUUUAUAGUCGUGGUUCUGUCCGUGAAUGUGUGAAAAUAAUAGCACGCGCUCCAUCAUGAUAAUUAGCCGAUAAUGCUAAUGCUAAUAGCUACGUGCUAAUCAAGCUAGCUGGCUAACAUACCAGUCAAGUUCAUGUUGUUUGAUCUAAGACGCAGGAAGUAAAACAAAGCAAGACGCACAAAACAAUGUCCACUAAUGUUGGCACUGAAGACACAGAGGAAGAUGAUGUUGAAUUUGUGUCUGAGGUUCCACUUAGACCUGUUCUGGAGUGCAUUGACCUGCUGAGUGAUGGAGACGAUGAUACAGGAGUGUGUACGAUUGAGGAUCAGGUGGACAGACAGAAGGCCCAAGCAGCUUCAACCCUGGACAGACUGGCUCGCCAGGUAGCCGUUGAGAAACAGGAGCGGGCUGAAAAGUGCAAAGCCUUUAAGGAGAAGAUGAUCUCGCAGCAAGCUCACGGCCGUCACGAGCUGGCAGCGAGUCAAUAUAGCAACGAGGACAGCAACGAUGCCAAACGUUGUGUGGACAUCUGGCUGAAAAUGCCAGGAUUAAAGCCUGGUAUCAUUAAUAAUGGCAUUGGCUGGAGGCGCAGAUCUGCUCCCAGUCCCUCGUUAAGAUCCUCCCCUCAAACCUGCCCUGUCAUUAACUGUGGAAGAGUAUAUGAAAAUGGCCCUCUGCUUGAGGGUCACCUUAAAAGAUUUGACCACUCUCCAUGUGACCCUACUAUCAUGCUUAAGGGCAAUCCUGCUUCUGUGUAUGCCUGUGUCGCAUGUGGGUGUCACUUUGACACCAGAGAGCACUGGAGAAUGCAUCUGGACUCUCAGUUGUCCUUGUCUGAUACUGGUGGUCAUGACAGCUCUCAGACCUGCCAGGUGAUUGUUUGCUUCGCUUGCCCUGCCUGUUUCCUCCUCUUUAACAUCAAAGAUGAGUGUCUUCAGCACAUAACAGCCAAAAACCACUUCACACAGUCUGUCUCUCUACACGAGAUGAAGUCACCAGGACCAAUUCCAGUUCCACGAUAUGCAAAGAACCGGCUAAUUGCUUUAUGUAAAGAUGUCGCAUUUAGUGUCAGAUGCACAGUCUGCUCAAAGAUGCUUACUUCACACAUGGAAGCCAAGGCUCACUUCAAUGUGCAAUGCAGACAAGGUUGUGCUUUUGCAGAAGGUGAUAAAAGUGUGGUUGAAGUCAUGAAGCAGCUCACAGUUUUGGGCCAGUGCUCUGCUUGCUCCAAAAUCUUCCUAUGCCAAAGACAGAUAGAGGAACACAAAGAACAAACUCAGCACGAGGUGGAGAUGAUCCGCAGCAUAGAGCGAGCACUGUUAGUGUACAGCAAUUAUGGCGAAAUCCGACAAAACGUCAAGGCUACCACCAGUCACUCCUCUAAACAUCCAAGUGCAACCAGAUCUUCAUCGCAUAAGGAUAGAAGAGACAAAAACGACGGUCUUUGGUCCCCUGCCAAGCGGCAGAAAAUCUCAAACUCAAGUCCUCAAACUGCUUGUGAUAGAGCCUCGAACAUUGCCUGGUUCUGUGAAUGUGGCCUACAGUUCCUGGAAGAGGAUCAAGCUAGCAAGCAUCUUCUAGCAGCCAACCAAAUCUUUCACAAGUGUGCCGUCUGUGGUAAGCUAAUGGGCGAAUCGUCCAUUGCGCGUUUGCACAUGAGCCGGUUCCAUGGUGGUGCUCAUCUGUCCAACUUCCUUUUCCACUGCAGGCUGUGCAAAUUAGACAUGCCAAGGAUUGAGCACAUCCUGUCUCAUGUUGGUGUUUCCCAUCAAGGGCACACCUUUUAUGAAGAAAGAGAAAAAACUAAAAAGGAAAAGUUGUUUUGUCCUCCUCAGAAACCAUCCACCACUGUCAACAGCAGACCAGCCGUUUCCACUCCACAUGAUAUCAGAAACAAGGAACGGUGGCUGUGCCGAAUGUGCGAGGAAAUAUUUGACUCUGAAUCCGUGGUCCUCAAGCACUGCAGCGAUGUGACCAGUCACAGCUUUCAAAGGUUCGCUUGUGGCCACUGUCCCCAGAAGUUCUUCAAAGAGUCGACGCUCCGCCGGCACUGUGCUAAUGAGCACAAUAAUCAGCUGCUCCUUCGCUACUUCUGUGGACUCUGUGACAGCAUGCUAUAUGACACUGAGCAGGAAUUCCUUGAGCACUAUGCCAGCCUGCACAGCAAGGAUUAUUACCACUUGGACAAAACGGGGAAUGGAACUUUUUCAGUCCCAGACAGUUCCGACGAGGUACCGACAACAAGUAAAAGCCUUCCCCAACUCUGUCCAUGCAUGGGCUCGCAAAAAGCCAAAGACGAAACCAAGUCCACCUUUACCAGAUGCAUGAAACAGCUCGCCAUAGAAGGCAAAUGCGGAUACGUCUGUCACCAAUGUGAAGCCAAAACAGGCUCUUACGCAGAAAUGAAAACGCACAUAUAUUUGAAGCAUGAGGCCCUGGGCAAGGACAAACGCUUUAGUGUUGUCUGCGAGUCAUGUUCUGAGAGCCAUACGGACGUGCCCGGGUUCCACUCACAUUACCAUGCCCAUCACUGCUUACUGGAACCGUGUAUGUCCUCUCGAUGUGGUGGAUCAAGCAAGGACGAACCCCUGCUCAUGAAGAUUCUGAACACGGAGGAAAUCUCUACAAAAGCCGAGGAGUUUCAGGAUGUAAAGACAGCCAUUGCUUCAAGCACCAUUUCCGAAGAUAAGCAGGAAAACCGUUUGUUUCCUCAGGUGAAUAUGAUGAGGAAAUAAAAUUGGCUUUGGCUUUAAGUGCAGAAGAAGCAAAGAAGCCAACAUCAUUUGACCAGGAGAUGGAAGAGGCUCUGAAGAGAAGCCUGGUGGACUUUUGAUCAGAAGCCACACACACACACACACACACAAUUUGUCUUUUCAUUUCAUUUCAGUUGUUCAUGUAAUGACUGUAAGCUGUUAAAUAUUUUUGUCAAUGUGUUCUGAGGAGAAAAUAAAGAAAACUAAGCUUAGCU